AUGAAUAAAGUUGUUUUAAACUAUGUGUCGGCUAAUUUGAUAGAUGUUCUGUUUCUGAAUGACAAUGUUGUACAAUGGCGUUUUACGGGUUUUUAUGGUCAUCCGAAUUGGAGGGAUCGUAAUUUGUCGUGGGAGGAUAUUCAUAAUUUGCACAAUAAAGGGGGUCACCCUUGGGUGGUUUUGGGAGAUUUUAACGAAAUUCUACUGUCUUCCGAAAAGGAGGGAGGCAAUGCAAGACCUAACGCAAUGAUGAGGGAAUUUCGUAAUUGUUAG
Molecule: ribosomal RNA, 273 nt
Filed under: Triticum aestivum (bread wheat)
Lineage: Eukaryota; Viridiplantae; Streptophyta; Magnoliopsida; Poales; Poaceae
Description: partial small subunit ribosomal RNA
Source: RNAcentral